This 65-nucleotide non-coding RNA is filed under the name Polarella glacialis. Lineage: Eukaryota; Dinophyceae; Suessiales; Suessiaceae. The record is from RNAcentral.
AAAAAAAGAGAAAAAAAAAGGUGUUGAUGUUUUUUUUUUUUUUUUUUUUUUUUUUUUUUUUUUUU